This is a long non-coding RNA of Eriocheir sinensis (Chinese mitten crab), 473 nucleotides long. RefSeq lists it as uncharacterized. The transcript has 3 exons. The record is from RefSeq and is a predicted model, not a curated record. Lineage: Eukaryota; Metazoa; Arthropoda; Malacostraca; Decapoda; Varunidae.
GGGUGGGGGAAAUGUGGAAAUUGAAGGCCGUUCUCAUUGGUCUUGAAGCUGAGGAGGAGAGCGUACUGCGUGUUCCUAGCUGCUGACGAAGACGCUGACGGCGGGGAUGCUUAGAACGAGGGUGGACGAAGGAAGCUGUGGGAGGAGGCAGGACCCACGCUGCAGAUGAGGAGGCUGCAGGACACGGCCACGGAGAUGAAUAGUCGCCACAGGACCGUAGACACGAGGUGCGGUGCCCUGUGGAGCCUGCCAACAAAUAGUAGUCCCUGGCAAGCCUCCUCCUGUACUGGAUGCAUCAACGCCUGGCACACUGCUGGGACCAUCUAGCUGUCAGUCACACUUCAGGAGCUGUCUGGAAAACCGGGCAGAUUAAGUUCGUCAACUCCGAAGAUUUUACAAAACAUGAUCCUGUAAACUCUGCUUACCGUAUGUCUGGGACAAUUCAAACAAAAUAUACUUAAAGGAAAAUCAAA